RNAcentral lists this ribosomal RNA (301 nucleotides) under uncultured bacterium. RNAcentral describes it as "partial 16S ribosomal RNA". It matches the Rfam family "Bacterial small subunit ribosomal RNA", at positions 509 to 807 of the family's 1533-position model. The record is from RNAcentral.
CAGUCGCCACGGUAACACGUAGGGUGCAAGCGUUAAUCGGAAUUACUGGGCGUAAAGCGUGCGCAGGCGGUUAUAUAAGACAGAUGUGAAAUCCCCGGGCUCAACCUGGGAACUGCAUUUGUGACUGUAUAGCUAGAGUACGGCAGAGGGGGAUGGAAUUCCGCGUGUAGCAGUGAAAUGCGUAGAUAUGCGGAGGAACACCGAUGGCGAAGGCAAUCCCCUGGGCCUGUACUGACGCUCAUGCACGAAAGCGUGGGGAGCAAACAGGAUUAGAUACCCGCGUAGUCCCUGUCUCUUAUAC